GAAAUGCGAUAAGUAAUGUGAAUUGCAGAAUUCAGUGAAUCAUCGAAUCUUUGAACGCACCUUGCGCUCCUUGGUAUUCCUUGGAGCAUGCCUGUUUGAGUAUCAUGAAAUCUUCAAAGUAAAUCUUUUGUUAACUCAAUUGGUUUCUACUUUGGUAUUGGAGGUCUUUGCAGCUUCACACCUGCUCCUCUUUGUUCAUUAGCUGGAUCUCAGUGUUAUGCUUGGUUCCACUCGGCGUGAUAAGUUAUCUAUCGCUGAGGACACUGUGUAAGGUGGCCAAGGUAAAUGCAGAUGAACCGCUUCUAAUAGUCCAUUGACUUGGACAAUACUUUUAUGAUCUGAUCUCAAAUCAGGUAGGACUACCCGCUGAACUUAAGC
This 378-nucleotide unclassified non-coding RNA is filed under the name plant metagenome. RNAcentral describes it as "partial contains 5.8S ribosomal RNA, internal transcribed spacer 2, and large subunit ribosomal RNA". The stretch from base 1 to 105 matches the Rfam family "5.8S ribosomal RNA", at positions 50 to 154 of the family's 154-position model. The record is from RNAcentral.